AAUAAUUAAUAUUGAACCCUGAACGUGCCAAUCUCAUCUGAUCUUGGAAGCUAAGUGGGAUGUGUCCUCGUUAGUACUUGGAUGGGAGACCACCUAGGAAUACCAGGUGCUGUAGGUA
RNAcentral lists this ribosomal RNA (118 nucleotides) under Pteropus alecto (black flying fox). RNAcentral also lists the same sequence under 1 other name. Lineage: Eukaryota; Metazoa; Chordata; Mammalia; Chiroptera; Pteropodidae. The record is from RNAcentral.